This 253-nucleotide ribosomal RNA is filed under the name uncultured bacterium. RNAcentral describes it as "partial 16S ribosomal RNA". It matches the Rfam family "Bacterial small subunit ribosomal RNA", at positions 524 to 776 of the family's 1533-position model. The record is from RNAcentral.
UACGUAGGCAGCGAGCGUUGUUCGGAGUUACUGGGCGUAAAGAGUGCGUAGGCGGUCUUCUAAGUUUGGUGUGAAAUCUCCCGGCUCAACUGGGAGGGUGCGCCGAAGACUGGAAGGCUUGAGUAUGGGAGAGGUAAGCGGAAUUCCUGGUGUAGCGGUGAAAUGCGUAGAUAUCAGGAGGAACACCUGCGGUGUAGACGGCUUACUGGACCAUAACUGACGCUGAGGCACGAAAGCGUGGGUAGCAAACAGG